CCUACGGGCGGCAGCAGUCGAGAAUCAUUCACAAUGGGGGAAACCCUGAUGGUGCGACGCCGCGUGGGGGAAUGAAGUUCUUCGGAUUGUAAACCCCUGUCAUGUGGGAGCAAAUUAAAAAGAUAGUACCCCAAGAGGAAGAGACGGCUAACUCUGUGACAGCAGCCGCGGUAAUACAGAGGUCUCAAGCGUUGUUCGGAAUCACUGGGCGUAAAGCGUGCGUAGGCUGUUUCGUAAGUCGUGUGUGAAAGGCGCGGGCUCAACCCGCGGACGGCACAUGAUACUGCGAGACUAGAGUAAUGGAGGGGGAACCGGAAUUCUCGGUGUAGCAGUGAAAUGCGUAGAUAUCGAGAGGAACACUCGUGGCGAAGGCGGGUUCCUGGACAUUAACUGACGCUGAGGCACGAAGGCCAGGGGAGCGAAAGGGAUUAGAUACCCGGGUAGUC
RNAcentral lists this ribosomal RNA (446 nucleotides) under uncultured bacterium. RNAcentral's name for it is "partial 16S ribosomal RNA". It matches the Rfam family "Bacterial small subunit ribosomal RNA", at positions 338 to 795 of the family's 1533-position model. The record is from RNAcentral.